AAGUUUUAUUUUAGUAACUCAUCGUGUAGUUAAUGUGGAGAGAUUUAGAAAAGAUUGUUAAAUGUCAAAUAUUUAAUUUGAAGAUUUUUUUUCUAAUUAUCAAAAGCAAACAUUAAAAUCCAGUUGCAAGCAUUGUAAAUAAAUUCCAACUACAGGAUUUAUUUCACAAAAUGGCUGCAAAAAUGUAUAUGUAGAUAUAUCAUUGAUUAC
RNAcentral lists this small RNA (210 nucleotides) under Arabidopsis thaliana (thale cress). RNAcentral's name for it is "ATSL029860". Lineage: Eukaryota; Viridiplantae; Streptophyta; Magnoliopsida; Brassicales; Brassicaceae. The record is from RNAcentral.